Molecule: non-coding RNA, 391 nt
Organism: Pelobates cultripes (western spadefoot toad)
Lineage: Eukaryota; Metazoa; Chordata; Amphibia; Anura; Pelobatidae
Source: the annotation of a GenBank genome assembly
CGGUUAUCUGGAUUCUUAUUGGGUGGACUGGUUGUGGUUUCUCAUUUCCUGGCACAAGUAGUGGGUAGUGAGCCAAGCUGUCUAAAGUUUCAAGAACAUGGCAUUUUCAAAUAUGAUUUGUCCUUGCAAAGAACACAGUACAUAACUAUUUUUGGAAGAUGGCUACCGCUAGUUUACUGCACUUUGUUUACCAUAGUUUUGAAGGAGCAAUUUACAUAAUCAUAAUUAAAGGGACUCUCCAGUGCCAGGAAAACAAUCAGUUUUCCUGGCACUGCAGGUCCUCUCUCCCUCCCACCCCCCAUCCCAGGUUGCUGAAGGGGUUAAAACCCCUUCAGUGUCUUACCUUUAUCCAGCGCCGAUGUCCCUCGGCGCUGGUUCACGGUCCGCCCAC